This is an RNA transcript of Strigops habroptila (Kakapo), 1684 nucleotides long. It is a transcript of the gene named zinc finger protein 830, with no coding region annotated. NCBI's taxonomy places the organism in Eukaryota, Metazoa, Chordata, Aves, Psittaciformes, Psittacidae. The transcript has 14 exons. The record is from RefSeq and is a predicted model, not a curated record.
UUGCCGUCACUGUGUGCGCCGGGAGAAGAUGGCGGCGGGCGGUGUGGGCGCGGGCCGGAAGCAGGUGCGGCAGGAGGAGCUGCGGCGCCUGAUGCGCGAGAAGCAGCGGCAGAACGCGGGCAGGAAGCGGGUCGAGUCGCCCUUCGCCAAGUACAACAGCCUGGGGCACCUGAGCUGCACGCUGUGCAACGCGCCCGUGAAGAGCGAGCUGCUGUGGCAGACACACGUCCUGGGCAAGCAGCACCGCGAGAGAGUUGCAGAAUUAAAAGGCACAAAGCAGACAGCAGCUGGUUCAGCUGCUACCACAUCAUCUCAUCCUGUCAAGAGAAAAACUGUUGACACAGAAAAUACAGAGUUAAAGAGAGUAAAAGGUACAGACGAAAAGCCACAUACGUCUACAUCUGGGCUACCAGCAGAUUUUUUUGAUGAAACAGAGCGAGACAGUGCAAACAAACAGCUUUCAAAGGCUCCAGGUCCUAGUUUAUUGUCAGGAAAUUAUGAUGACGAUGAUGAUGGUGAUGAAGAGGAGGAACAAGAUCAAUCAAACACAUCUUCUGUUACGAAUAAAACUGAAAUUCCACCUCCAGCUCAAGAAGUAACAGCUAAUGCUCUGCCUGCAGACUUCUUUGACAGCAACACUACAGCUGCUCCUAUACUUUCCCAUUCAGGAUCCAUACAGAAAGCAGAGAUACAGGAGAAGGUAGUGGAAAGGAAAGAAAACACUGCUGAAGCUUUGCCGGAAGGUUUCUUUGAUGAUCCUGAAGUGGAUGCAAAAGUGCGAAAAGUUGAUGCUCCAAAGGAUCAGAUGGACAAAGAAUGGGAUGAAUUUCAAAAGGCAAUGCGACAGGUCAACACAAUUUCAGAAGCAAUAGUGGCAGAAGAGGAUGAGGAGGGACGACUAGAUCGUCAGAUUGGAGAAAUUGACGAGCAGAUUGAAUGUUAUCGCCGUGUUGAGCUUUUGCGUAACCGCCAGGAUCUGAUGAAGGAGAAAUUAAAGGAAGCCAUGAGAUUAAAAGCAACACAAGAGAAAGAGGAUGAGGCUAUUGGUAGCGAAGAUGAAGAAGAGUUGCAGGAUUUGCUGUCUCAAGACUGGCGGGUGAAGGGGGCUUUGUUGUAGCAUUUCUGCAACAUGGUUGAUAUUCUCUUCAUCUGUGAUGUGUACCCAUAGUGUAGCAUACCCCACAUUUCUUGAACCAGAGGAAUGGAAACACGUGGUGAUAAAUUUGCAUAACUAAAUGAAAGGGUGACAAAAUGCCAGAAGGGAAGGUACUGCACUGGAAACUAAUGAGAUGAAGUAAAAUCAAGAACCAAAAAACUUGACGAGACUGGGAGAUGGACAGUAAAACUACCUUGAGCUUCGUUACUGUCUUGUGACAUGUGCCAGUCUGUGGAGUGACAGGACACAUGCAUUGAUGCAGAAACUGAUUUAAUCAACAUUACUGUGUUCCUUCCUGGAGCCAAGGAGUAAGUACGCUUCAGUGGUUUCUCCUUGCUGGGGUGCCAGAGGGACGGAAGCCCCCGGGCUGGCGCCCGCCCGCUGUUGGAACUAGUUGUUAGGUGGUGCCCGGGUGUUAGUCGUUAUGGAGAGCGGAAGACGACUUGAGCCGGCAACAGUUAACACUAGCAAUUUAACAGAAACUAAAAAGAUGCCGUAUUGUUUCCUUGACAACUAGGAUCUACCACA